AGCAGCCGCGGUAAUUCCAGCUCCAAUAGCGUAUAUUAAAGUUGUUGCAGUUAAAAAGCUCGUAGUUGAAUUUCGGGAUCAAUAUGUUGGUCGUGCCUUGGUACGUACUGGCAUUAUCGAUUCCUACCUUCUGAAGAACCUCGAUGUCAUUAAUUUGGUGUCUUGGGGAAUCAGGACUGUUACUUUGAAAAAAUUAGAGUGUUUAAAGCAGGCUCGCGCUUGAAUACAUUAGCAUGGAAUAAUGAAAUAGGACGUUUGAUUCUAUUUUGUUGGUUUCUAGGAUCGACGUAAUGAUUAAUAGGGAUAGUUGGGGGCAUUAGUAUUCAAUUGUCAGAGGUGAAAUUCUUGGAUUUAUUGAAGACUAACUACUGCGAAAGCAUUUGCCAAGGAUGUUUUCAUUAAUCAAGAACGAAAGUUAGGGGAUCGAAGACGAUCAGAUACCGUCGUAGUCUUAACCAUAAACUAUGCCGACUAGGGAUCGGAUGAUGUUAAUUUUUUAAAUGACUCAUUCGGCGCCUUA
RNAcentral lists this unclassified non-coding RNA (520 nucleotides) under uncultured Glomus. RNAcentral describes it as "SSU rRNA". It matches the Rfam family "Eukaryotic small subunit ribosomal RNA", at positions 569 to 1090 of the family's 1831-position model. The record is from RNAcentral. Lineage: Eukaryota; Fungi; Glomeromycota; Glomeromycetes; Glomerales; Glomeraceae.